GGUGCCGUAAAAGAGGGAAGGAAGAAAGAAAAUCGCAGCCAUACGGGCUACGCUCCCCUGGCUGAACUUUAUCUGCAUUUUAAUGGCGGGAGGAGGGAGAGGAGUGUGUGUCUUUGUGUGUGUGUCUAUGGGGGGGCGGUGGAUAAAGACGGCUAUAUGUGCUCCUCCCUUGCAUCAUAUGUCAGCCAUUAGUGCAUCUCAGAGAGCUGGCACAGCACAACGCAGUUUACUGAAGUGUAGUGGACUGCAAGACCGCUUCAACCUUUCAGACAGAAAUGAGGGGAAAACAACCCGCUGACCUUUAGGACCCGAGAGCAACCACUCAGACUAACCAAUGGCCUUUUUGGACCAUGCAGUCAUUAGUCAAAGCUUUUAAGGGAGACCGCAGCCGCCCAAAAGCAUGAGCACGUCUGGGCUCGAUGGAGAUGAAACACUACGCGAGGGAAGACGAUAAAGAGUCACAGAACAUCUCGAUUCACGUUUGUAGGGAGCUCGCAAAAGACCUGAGUCAAAACAAAACUCGACGGGGGAGCAGCUGGUAAGAAUGUUGUCGUAAGAAUGUCAAGAGGCAUCGAUCUGUUCUCCGGCCAGAUGUGUUUUUAGCUAAGUCGUGUGAAAUCCGAACUUGGUAUCGAGCAAGUUCUCUUUGCUUCAUACACAAACGCUUGAUGACUUUCAGAUGUGACAGUCACGUUUCGUCUGGACCAAGAUCGUGGAAAUGAUUUUCUGUCCAAGUCCAAUUCCGUUUCUGUCAACUGGUUUCGCCAUCUCCGAGCAUGUACAACUUCUUUCACGUGGUUUCCUUUUUAAGUCAACAGCACUCCGAAGUGAUAUAGCACAUCGCCAUAAGUCAAAGUGAAAUGCCAAAACAGCACAGUUCUGGCCUAAACAUUCCACAGAGGCCGACCCCCCUCCCUCCCUUCCUGCCUUGGGGCUACGCAACACAGACGAAAAUAAAAGAUCCUUGCACAAACAGCAUACAUCUCGGACACAAACGGAUUUUGGCAGCAACGUCACAAAAUGGUUGACCUUUGACGUCGACAAAGAGCUGAACUUCCUCUUGCCGCUAAAUGCUAGCCAGCUGUGUUUCCACUCAGUCGACAGUUCUUAGAAAAGCUUCAAGAUCUCAAAACAUGGACACCAACAAACAGAUGCAAGAGUAAGACUGUAGGCUUGUUUUAUCAGGACGAUGUUCAUUUCCGGGCUUUAACUAUCCCAACUGUCUCCCGUUACAGCUUUUUCGGCCUGUCGCUGGAUGGAAGUCUUCAGCUUCGUCUUAAGUAGAACUCAGUUCUGCAAAAUGGAGAGGCUACGUUUACAGAAUCCAGAAAACAUCUGUUCUCCUCCCGUCCCGAAUGCGAACUAUGACCUUAAGCCCAAGGUACGUACCAAACUCUGAUUUUCAGUGUGGCGUUAAAGUUAAAUGCCAUGAGGUAAUUCCAAACUACAUAGUACCACUCCAAAAGCUACUCGGGAGCAUGGACAGGUCUGAACGGCACCAGAUUCAGGCUCCACCGAGUCUGCAACGCUACCUUGUACGUGUAAGAAGCGCUCCCUCGGGUCUAAAAGGUGCUCGGAUGACGGACGUUGACAAAAACCAGACGACCUGUGACCUUGGUCAAAGAGGUGCCGCGGACACUGUGGUCCCUGCAGGAGCACCCUAAAGAAUUCCAGACCUCCACAUCCAGCCUCCUCUCAUUUGUCAUCAGGUCCUCUAGCCCGAAAUGAUCACAAUAGCCAUCGUGACUAACUGCAGAACUUGUCAUGAACAUUGUUUGAAUGCAAUGACAUUUGUCCUUUUAGGGCCACCAUCACACCCAUUACUUGACACAAGCAUAAAAUAAAUGACCUUAUAGCUUUCCGUACUCACUUUUAAAAAAGGUAGGACAUGCAAAUUGCUCAGAAUUUCUGUUGUCAGGCCGGAUUGAUUUUAGGACAAAAACAACUUUGUAGCCUUAACUGCCCCAUAGCAGGCUUAGUGGUUAGCACAAAGUUCUGAGAUCAAGUCAAACAAAGACUCCAAAUCAGCGGUUCUCAAACAGAAAUGUGUUUGCCUUUACGUGAUUGGCUGGCAAACAGUCGUAUGGGACGUACAGCCACCUUUGACCCCAAUUUUGUUGUACAAUGAGAGUAAAGGCCUGAACAACUAAAAGGAGGUUGAAACGAGAAACAUGAGCUCAGUGAUGUCACAGGCAAUGGACGUAGCUAGUACGUGUGUGUGUGUGUGUAACAGGUUUAAAGGCAAGUUCUACCCUCAGGCCAAAGUCAAAUAUGUCAACGUUGCGCAUGUGGCUUUCAUUUGGGAUGAGUUGAGGGUCGCUGUGCGUCCGUUGGUGGGAACGCAGCUCACCAGGAAACGCCAUGUUUUUAUUAGAAGCCAGCAAAUGACUGAAAUUGAUCUUUUCCUGGCCAACUGAUCCCACGUGGAAGGCCAACAAUACACACACAGCUUCCAAGGUGGUUCACACUUUUUGAUUUUCUACCGUUUGUGCAAUAAAUACGCCGAUUGCUUGGAGUCUUUUCUUUGAACAAACACGAUUCAAUGUGCGAUGAUGGAGGGAACAAGAAAAGUCACGGCCGAUUCGGGUGAGUGAAGAAUCACUGCAAAUGCCUUGAAAUAAAGCUUCAAAUCAUCAUUCCCUAGACAGAGUAGUAGCAAAAUAAAAUGGGAUUUGAAACUACAGUGCAUCAUUCAUAAUAAUACAAAUAAAAAUUGCAGUUUUAACAGGUAAUGAACGCCUCGAUGAGAACAAACAAGAGGUACUCGUGCAAGGUAAGGCUACUUGAAAAAAAAUAAAGGAAUAAUACAAACAAGUGGGCUAUUUUUAUAUAUACAUAUAUUAUAUAGUUUAUUAUAUAUAUUAUAUAUUUGUAUAUAUUUUUUAUAAUAUAUAUAUAACUAAUAUGAAAUAUAUGUAUACAUAAUUAUAUAUAUAUAUAUAUAUAUAUAUAUAUAUAUAUAUAUAUAUAUAUAUACAUACACACACACAUAUCACGUAUUUAUAAAUUUAUGAAUUGGGUUGAAUGCCUGAAUACUGUAUAUUGGUAAUUGCAUAAUAAAUUGUUUCAAAUACUUGAUGUGGCCUUUUGGUUGUAUUUUCUUUUCUUUUUUUUUUUUUAAUUUUAACAUUAAAUCCUUCUUUAAACCUGUGUGAUACUUUGUCAGCAUGGAGAAACGACACAAGUGUCACAUUUUGGGUUCUUUAAUCAACUUUACAAAGGGGGAGGAGCUGAGUCAAUUUUUUUGUGUGUGUUUUUGUACUCCUCUGAAAUAAAUAGCAUCUUGGAAUAAUGAAGCAAAACAUGCAAAAAUAAAAGACGCUGACGUGAUGCGAUGUAAAGGGUGCGACGAUCUUGUGAGGACAAGACGCGCAUCUGCGACGCGUCAGUCUGAAUUAAGCGUCGCCGACUUCUCGCCGUCGCCAAGGUUCGCAUCGUGAUUUACAAUUGCUCGGGAUUUGUUUCCUGUAAAGUUGCAUGUCACAGCAAUGGACUCACGCUGCGCUUUUAUGCAGUCGUAAAUAAGAGCACCCCCUCAAACACACACACACACAAACACAAACCUGACACAAGCUAUAAAAGCUUUUCUGUGUUUUACCGCAAGUCGUUCCAUGUCUUAACAUUUUAUUGUCGAGCUGCUGCCUGAAAUGAUGCAACCUUCAUUCAGAGAUUGUUUCAAUUGCUUGUGAUAUUAAAAGUGGAUUAUUGUAACUUCAGCUGUUUGUUAUUUUUCCCCUUUUUGUGGAAGCAUGAGUUACUAUGUUGGGAAUCUCGUUUUUGUCGUGUGACUUAAGUUGCAACACGUGUAUUUGAUGUAGACGAAGAAUUUAAGUGUUUUGAAGUGAGGCUAAAAUCAUUAAAGCUGCAGUAUUUAUUAGUAUCAUCUACCAUAAACAAAUAAUAUUUUGUGUGUGUGGGGGGGAAACUUUUAAUAAAAUAAACUGGUAUUUUUCAUUCUAUGGUGUGAACAUUUGACUGACCUGAGGUGAAUGAAUGAAUGAAUUAAAAAUAUAUAUCCAUCCAUCCAUUCUUGAACUGAACAAAACUAAUUGGAAAUAUUUUCCUCUGUACAAGACUGUAUUGACUUUUAAAGAGAUACAAGAGCACCGGCAAAUGUUUUUAAAUAACCAGUAACGAGAACUAAGCUACUUUGGGCUGGGGGGACAAAAAAAAAAAAUCCUGUACAAAGAUACAUAUACAAAAUACAACAACAGCCUUUUGUCGCUGUUUGAUAAAAGCCAUAAUUUGAACUCUUAUACACAAAUAUACACUUGUGUAUUUAGGAUACAUGAUGAAAGCAGCGACAACAGCAUUCAUAUAACAUUGACUGGGCAAAA
Molecule: long non-coding RNA, 4337 nt
Organism: Syngnathus typhle (broad-nosed pipefish)
Lineage: Eukaryota; Metazoa; Chordata; Actinopteri; Syngnathiformes; Syngnathidae
Exons: 4
Source: RefSeq, a predicted model, not a curated record